GUGGGGAAUAUUGCACAAUGGGGGAAACCCUGAUGCAGCGACGCCGCGUGAGUGAAGAAGUGCUUCGGCAUGUAAAGCUCUAUCAGCAGGGAAGAAGAUGACGGUACCUGACUAAGAAGCCCCGGCUAACUACGUGCCAGCAGCCGCGGUAAUACGUAGGGGGCAAGCGUUAUCCGGAUUUACUGGGUGUAAAGGGAGCGUAGGUGGCAGAUCAAGUCAGAUGUGAAAGCCCGUGGCUCAACUGCGGGAUUGCAUUUGAAACUGGUUUGCUAGAGUGCAGGAGAGGUAAGUGGAAUUCCUAGUGUAGCGGUGAAAUGCGUAGAUAUUAGGAGGAACACCAGUGGCGAAGGCGGCUUACUGGACUGUAACUGACACUGAGGCUCGAAAGCGUGGGGAGCAAACAGGAUUAGAAACCCUAGUAGUCC
Molecule: ribosomal RNA, 425 nt
Filed under: uncultured bacterium
Lineage: Bacteria
Description: bacterial SSU rRNA
Rfam family: Bacterial small subunit ribosomal RNA
Source: RNAcentral